Molecule: ribosomal RNA, 1031 nt
Filed under: Salmonella enterica subsp. enterica serovar Typhimurium
Lineage: Bacteria; Pseudomonadati; Pseudomonadota; Gammaproteobacteria; Enterobacterales; Enterobacteriaceae
Description: partial 23S ribosomal RNA
Rfam family: Bacterial large subunit ribosomal RNA
Source: RNAcentral
GGGAAACCGAGUCUUAAUUGGGCGUUAAGUUGCAGGGUAUAGACCCGAAACCCGGUGAUCUAGCCAUGGGCAGGUUGAAGGUUGGGUAACACUAACUGGAGGACCGAACCGACUAAUGUUGAAAAAUUAGCGGAUGACCUGUGGCUGGGGGUGAAAGGCCAAUCAAACCGGGAGAUAGCUGGUUCUCCCCGAAAGCUAUUUAGGUAGCGCCUCGUGAAUUCAUCUCCGGGGGUAGAGCACUGUUUCGGCUAGGGGGCCAUCCCGGCUUACCAACCCGAUGCAAACUGCGAAUACCGGAGAAUGUUAUCACGGGAGACACACGGCGGGUGCUAACGUCCGUCGUGAAGAGGGAAACAACCCAGACCGCCAGCUAAGGUCCCAAAGUCAUGGUUAAGUGGGAAACGAUGUGGGAAGGCCCAGACAGCCAGGAUGUUGGCUUAGAAGCAGCCAUCAUUUAAAGAAAGCGUAAUAGCUCACUGGUCGAGUCGGCCUGCGCGGAAGAUGUAACGGGGCUAAACCAUGCACCGAAGCUGCGGCAGCGAACGUAUCACCCAAGACAACUUUACGGAGUUGACGAUUGACGGAGCGAAGCGACGUCAAAGCGUUCAUUAAAGUCGAGUUGGCUUAGGGAUACGUUCGUUGGGUAGGGGAGCGUUCUGUAAGCCUGUGAAGGUGUGUCGUGAGGCAUGCUGGAGGUAUCAGAAGUGCGAAUGCUGACAUAAGUAACGAUAAAGCGGGUGAAAAGCCCGCUCGCCGGAAGACCAAGGGUUCCUGUCCAACGUUAAUCGGGGCAGGGUGAGUCGACCCCUAAGGCGAGGCCGAAAGGCGUAGUCGAUGGGAAACGGGUUAAUAUUCCCGUACUUGGUGUUACUGCGAAGGGGGGACGGAGAAGGCUAUGUUGGCCGGGCGACGGUUGUCCCGGUUUAAGCGUGUAGGUGUGUGUUCCAGGUAAAUCCGGUUCACUUUAACACUGAGGCGUGACGACGAGGCACUACGGUGCUGAAGCAACAAAUGCCCUGCUUCCAGGAAAA